This 543-nucleotide ribosomal RNA is filed under the name Sticta menziesii. RNAcentral describes it as "eukaryotic LSU rRNA". It matches the Rfam family "Eukaryotic large subunit ribosomal RNA", at positions 89 to 646 of the family's 3401-position model. The record is from RNAcentral. Lineage: Eukaryota; Fungi; Ascomycota; Lecanoromycetes; Peltigerales; Lobariaceae.
GCGAGUGAAGCGGCAACAGCUCAAAUUUGAAAUCUGGCCUCCUCGGGGUCCGAGUUGUAAUUUGUAGAGGGUGUUUCGGGCGCGAUGCCGGUCUAAGUUCCUUGGAACAGGACGUCGUAGAGGGUGAGAAUCCCGUAUGCGACCGGCGAUCAAGCCUGUGUGAAGCCCCUUCGACGAGUCGAGUUGUUUGGGAAUGCAGCUCAAAAUGGGUGGUAAAUUUCAUCUAAAGCUAAAUAUUGGCCAGAGACCGAUAGCGGACAAGUAGAGUGAUCGAAAGAUGAAAAGCACUUUGGAAAGAGAGUCAAACAGUACGUGAAAUUGUUGAAAGGGAAGCGCUUGCAAUCAGACCGGUCCGGAGGUGAUCAGCCGCUGCUCGUCAGCGGUGCACUCGCCUGCGAUCCGGCCAGCAUCGGUUUGGGCGGUGGGAUAAAAGUCCCGGGAAUGUAGCUUCCUUCGGGGAGUCUUAUAGCUCGGGUCGCAAUGCCGCCCGCCUGGACCGAGGACCGCGCUUCGGCUAGGAUGCUGGCGUAAUGGUUGCAAGCG